AUCAGGUUGAGUCUGGUGGUUCUGAUGCUGAUUCCUUUGCUUUUGUUGAGUAUACAGAUAAGGAAGAAGAAACGGGCAAACUUACAUACUGGAGCAGAUGGAACUGCUGAUAUGAUGCAGUUAGAUUCUCAUUCUGUUUAUGAGAACCUUUCAGCCUUGAAGGCCUUCACAGCAAGCAC
Molecule: non-coding RNA, 179 nt
Organism: Neolamprologus brichardi
Lineage: Eukaryota; Metazoa; Chordata; Actinopteri; Cichliformes; Cichlidae
Source: RefSeq, a predicted model, not a curated record